ACAGCCGCCAUGGGAGACGCCAUAGUGCUCUGCGCGUAAAGACUCUUGAGCAAUAUCUCUUUCUUGCGCUACCUCUUUCUUCUCUUCCAUCAUUUUGGACAAUCUUUUCAUAUACAUUGUUCUGAAGCUUUUCUAUUUGCAUCAAUAAACCUAUUAAAUCUCUGGAUUCCAAGUCUUGACAGACACAUCCACCGCAAAGAGCCAGGCUUUUAUACUUUUGGGCAUAAGAUGCCAACAGAUUCCAUAACUUGGAAGUUUAAUAAUACAUAAUUAUAGAUUUCAUAUUUAUAGAUUUGUAAAAUACUAUACUUCUCAGUGUGUUUACUAAAUAUUUGCAAAAAUUGGUGUUUUGUUUAAUGAAUUUUUAGGAUGUGCUCUGUACACAACAUGCACAUGAUAUGCUCAAAGAUUUGAGCUCAAAACCAAAAGCCCAGAGCUCAAAGCUCUCUCUUCCAAAUAAAAAAAAUGAC
This 470-nucleotide long non-coding RNA is filed under the name Malus domestica (apple). Its description in RNAcentral is "long non-coding RNA (MDOM_LNC008956)". Lineage: Eukaryota; Viridiplantae; Streptophyta; Magnoliopsida; Rosales; Rosaceae. The record is from RNAcentral.